GAUGAACGCUAGCUACAGGCUUAACACAUGCAAGUCGAGGGGCAGCAUGAACUUAGCUUGCUAAGUUUGAUGGCGACCGGCGCACGGGUGAGUAACACGUAUCCAACCUGCCGAUGACUCGGGGAUAGCCUUUCGAAAGAAAGAUUAAUACCCGAUGGCAUAGUUCUUCCGCAUGGUAGAACUAUUAAAGAAUUUCGGUCAUCGAUGGGGAUGCGUUCCAUUAGGUUGUUGGCGGGGUAACGGCCCACCAAGCCUUCGAUGGAUAGGGGUUCUGAGAGGAAGGUCCCCCACAUUGGAACUGAGACACGGUCCAAACUCCUACGGGAGGCAGCAGUGAGGAAUAUUGGUCAAUGGACGAGAGUCUGAACCAGCCAAGUAGCGUGAAGGAUGACUGCCCUAUGGGUGGUAAACUUCUUUUAUACGGGAAUAAAGUGAGGCACGUGUGCCUUUUUGUAUGUACCGUAUGAAUAAGGAUCGGCUAACUCCGUG
Molecule: ribosomal RNA, 489 nt
Filed under: uncultured bacterium
Lineage: Bacteria
Description: partial 16S ribosomal RNA
Rfam family: Bacterial small subunit ribosomal RNA
Source: RNAcentral